GAAGGGGCAUUUCUUAUCAAUAUAUGUUCCUUCAAUGGCUUCUCUUGGCGUCUUGAAUCCUAAUCCAAUACUCUUCCAGAAACGGUUCCCACCCUUUCCAGGUCUCUUCCCUUUCCCAGCCUUUUUAGAGCAGAGAAACACUUUGGGUUGCUUCAAAAACGCCUUCUCGGUCUGUUCCGCCAUGAUUAGGGAUUCUGAAGAGAGCACGCGUUCUGGUCUUUGCUCAGGCGGCCGAAGG
This 238-nucleotide unclassified non-coding RNA is filed under the name Hevea brasiliensis (rubber tree). The record is from RNAcentral. Lineage: Eukaryota; Viridiplantae; Streptophyta; Magnoliopsida; Malpighiales; Euphorbiaceae.